Long non-coding RNA from Oenanthe melanoleuca, 1485 nucleotides. RefSeq lists it as uncharacterized. Lineage: Eukaryota; Metazoa; Chordata; Aves; Passeriformes; Muscicapidae. The transcript is spliced from 2 exons. The record is from RefSeq and is a predicted model, not a curated record.
GUUCGCUGCCCGGCUGCUCCUUCCGGCGGGGGCCCCGAUGAACUUUUGCGCUACAGAAAUACAUCAUUUGCGGGCACUUCAACAGGAUUGAUCCUUGUCAGCAGCUGGUGAUUAGUAGUCUUUUGAGAGAGAGUAGCUUGCUUUCUUUGGUUGACAUGUUUCUACUCCGAUCAAGUUCAAGUUACGGAGUGAUUCCUUUCAUCAUCUGUAAACAAAAUAGCAAGUGUUGACACUGACCAUCAGCAGAGAUUGCCAUGAGUUCUUUGUUUUCCCACUGAAGUCAUAUUGGGUCUAACACGGCACACAUAGAUGGGAGCUUUGGGGUGGCUGACACUUUGGGGUGUAUGUUGUGAAUUUCAAGUGAAAGGGACGUGUUAACUUCAGCCCAGCACCUUUAGCCUUCUUGGGGCUUAAGUUUCUGGCUAAUUUUACAGGUGAAAGUUUAGGUGCCUGUGGCAUCUUUGGCAUCUAGAUAGAUGAAGAUCUCCUUUUUUGAUCUAGAGACAUGUAUGUACUUCUUGAUUUUUUUUUACCAUAAAUGUCUAAAUACUUUCUUGAAUUUUUCCUUAAUUAAUUGCUGAGAUGUUAAUUCUUUAAGAGACAGUAGCAGCAUACAGCCUCUUAGGCAGCUCUGGGUAGGAAGAUGAAGAUUAAAAUAAAUGUGGCCACGAUCAGCUGUCUCUUGCAACAGCCCCCUUUCAGUUAACAGCUCUUCUGGAUGGCUCAAUUUUACAGCUGGUGUGGAAAAGCUGUGGUGAUGAAUAGAAGAGGCUUUUUGGACUUCAUUUGAUUCUAAUGUUCUUUUCAUCUCCAUUUUUUUAGCUUUGGAUCUACACAGUAUGCAGAACAAGAAGAUAAGCAAGAAGAAAUUUUCACUUGCCUUUGUAGUAUUAUUGUGAGUCCUUCAGCAAGAAAAUCUCCAGGAAUUUUUAAAUUCUGAUUUCAGAAUGAAGUUGAUAUUUUACAACAUUGUCUCAUUUAGUGGCAUGAUACAUAACAAAAUAAAAGAUGUAUCACACGGAGAAACAAAUACUCUUGGCUCCAAAGUCAAUAUGUUUUGGAGCCUAACACAGUUAAUUUUUGGCUCCUGUGAAGUUUGCCCAUUCCAUAGCUUAUGAAGCCAGGUGAGGUAAAUUCAUUCAAACUGAUUACUGAUUUAGCUUAACCUUUCUCCCUUCACUGUGCUUUGCAUUCUGGGCAAGAAGCCUGAGUACUACUGAUCCACCUCACCCAGGUUUUAACCUCAUUCACUCAGCCAGUUGCAAGUCUUCAUCACAAGAUAUUUUUAUGUCUCUUGUAAAAGCACCAAACAGAGACUUGUCGUGCCUCAGCUUGAAGAAAAAGAUGUUUUACUAGCUCUGUCAUGGUGAUAUCAUUUAACUGAUACCAAUUUUAGUGGAUGGAAAAAGCCUUUCUGUUAUGAGCACUAGCCAUGGGAGUCAGCACAUAAUGACAUAAGCUUGCAGAAUAAACUUUUAACUCUCA